CUCAGGGCCAACGUACAAAACUCAUUUUCCAUUUCACAUUAACACUGAAACACAUGUAGACCAUGAAAUUAUUAUCCUAUUUAUAUUAGGGCAAACUGUAGAUUUUGCACACUUUAUUACGUUACACCUGUGUUACGUCCUCCAAUUACAUGUGUCACGUGACUAUUUUGGUCCAAUCAUGAUCGAGUGAUCACGCCAGUGGCGGAGAUGAACGCUUUUUUCAGUGUCAGACGCCCCGGUAAUGUCCAUCCAAACUGACACCAAAGAAGAAGAAAAACAACUGCAUUGAUACGGAUGGACUGAAAAGCUUUACAGCCGGGAUGCUAUCCGCUCACAGUCAGUGGGAGAGGAGCGGCUGGAAGACGUUCAGCAUGCGGUAGUUUGAGCGCCACAACCCCGUAGGACCCCGUGAGCAGCGUUCAUUGGACUGAAAGAGGCGCCAUCUUUGAACACGACAUCCAGAACAUGUUGACAGAGUCAGAGUCACAGACGGCAGCUGGACCACCCAAUGUCCUGCAGACUAUGUACUGUGGUGCUGGGACAUAAAAAGGCACGAUCCAGGAACAGAUGACAUGAGGCCGAGCAGCCAGUGUCUUGGAGGGUGGACGUGGAGGAACAGGAGGAGGGUGCUCUAACACGCUUCAUCGAAGAGGUAGCGAGUCCUGCUCAUGGAUAUGCUGGCCUCCCUCUGGAGUGUGAGAAGGGAGCAACUAGAGACAAUCAGUUUCCAGGGGCGACGGCGCCGCAAGGUAUCCUGGACUGUUUGCGGGGAAGGAUCCGGAAUCAGGCUGUUUGCUUUGUAAGGCCA
Seriola aureovittata is the source of this 808-nucleotide long non-coding RNA. RefSeq lists it as uncharacterized. The transcript is spliced from 4 exons. Lineage: Eukaryota; Metazoa; Chordata; Actinopteri; Carangiformes; Carangidae. The record is from RefSeq and is a predicted model, not a curated record.